Molecule: ribosomal RNA, 1142 nt
Filed under: Basilia truncata
Lineage: Eukaryota; Metazoa; Arthropoda; Insecta; Diptera; Nycteribiidae
Description: partial 16S ribosomal RNA
Source: RNAcentral
UUUAAAUUUAUUUAUUUAUUUAUUUAUUUUAAUGAUUAUAUGUAUAUAUAUAUAUAAAUAUUAAAAAUAGUUAUAAAAUUUAAAUUUUUAGUAUUAAUUUAAGAAAAAAUAAAUGUUUAUUAUAGUUUAUUAGUAUUGAAAAAGAAAAUUGAAAUAUUUUGAAAAAUUUUAAUUUAUAAAGAAAAAUUUAUUUUUUGUACCUUGUGUAUCAGGGUUUAUUAAAUAAUAUUUAUGAAUAUAAAUUUCUCGAUUUUAAAAGAUUUAAUAUAUUAUAAAAUUUAAAGUAAUAAAUUUAUUUUAAAUAAUAUAUUUGAAAUGAAAUGUUAUUCGUUUUUAAAGGUAUCUAGUUUUUUAAGAAAUAAAUUUAAUUUAUAAAUUUUAUAUUAUUUAUUUAAUUGUAAAAAUAAAUAAUUAUUUAAUUUAAUUAUUUUAUGGGAUAAGCUAUAAAAUAAAAGUUUAAAAAAUAUAGUUAUUAAAUAAAAUAUAGGGUUAAAAUUAUUCAAUAUUAGAGAAAAUGUAAUAAUUUAUUAUUAUGAUAGAAAAAUUUUAUAAAUUUUUAAAUAUUUAUUAAUAUAUAAUUUUUAUUUAAUAAAAGUUAGAAAUAAUGAUAAAAUUAGUAUAAUAUAUUAUAAAAAUAAAUUUAAAUUUUAAAUUUUUUUAAAGAAUUCGGCAAAAUUAUAUAUUCACCUGUUUAACAAAAACAUCUCUUUAUGAAUAAAUAUAAAGUUUAACCUGCCCAAUGAUUAAUUAAAUGGCUGCAGUAUAUUGACUGUACAAAGGUAGCAUAAUCAAUAGUUUUUUAAUUGAAAACUGGAAUGAAUGGUUGGAUGAAAUAUAAACUGUUUCAAAAAAAAUUUAUUAGAAUUUUAUUUUUUAGUAAAAAAGCUAAAAUUUAUUUAAAAGACGAGAAGACCCUAUAAAUCUUUAUAUAAUAUAUUUAUAUAUAAUUAUUUAGAAAAUUAUACAUAUAUAUAUAUAUAUAUAUAUUAUAUUUUAUUGGGGAGAUAGUAAAAUUUAAUAAACUUUUAUAAAUUAGUUUCAUUAAUUUAUGAAUAUUUGAUUAAUUAUUAAUGCAUAAUAAAAUAAGUUACUUUAGGGAUAACAGCGUAAUUAUUUUGGAGAGUUCAUAUUGAUAAAAUAGA